RNAcentral lists this small RNA (180 nucleotides) under Marmota monax (woodchuck). Lineage: Eukaryota; Metazoa; Chordata; Mammalia; Rodentia; Sciuridae. The record is from RNAcentral.
UGGGCCUUCAGAAAGAUAGGUAUCAGGGCUUUCAUUUUAUUAUGCUACUUGGUUUUUGGCUCUAUUAUUCCAUAAUAAAAAUGUACUAAAUUUUCACUGCUUUUUUUUUUUGUGUGUGUGUGUGUGUGUGUAUGUGGGUAUUGAAUCAUAAGGUGCUCAAUAAUUAGGCCACAUCCCCAA